AGCGAACGCUGGCGGCAGGCUUAACACAUGCAAGUCGAGCGGGCGUAGCAAUACGUCAGCGGCAGACGGGUGAGUAACGCGUGGGAACGUACCUUUUGGUUCGGAACAACCCAGGGAAACUUGGGCUAAUACCGGAUAAGCCCUUACGGGGAAAGAUUUAUCGCCGAAAGAUCGGCCCGCGUCUGAUUAGCUAGUUGGUGAGGUAACGGCUCACCAAGGCGACGAUCAGUAGCUGGUCUGAGAGGAUGAUCAGCCACAUUGGGACUGAGACACGGCCCAAACUCCUACGGGAGGCAGCAGUGGGGAAUAUUGGACAAUGGGCGCAAGCCUGAUCCAGCCAUGCCGCGUGAGUGAUGAAGGCCCUAGGGUUGUAAAGCUCUUUUGUGCGGGAAGAUAAUGACGGUACCGCAAGAAUAACGCCCCGGCUAACUUCGUGCCAGCAGCCGCGGUAAC
This 453-nucleotide ribosomal RNA is filed under the name uncultured bacterium. RNAcentral's name for it is "bacterial SSU rRNA". It matches the Rfam family "Bacterial small subunit ribosomal RNA", at positions 29 to 524 of the family's 1533-position model. The record is from RNAcentral.